GUGAACGUUACCAAACUGUUGCCUCGGCGGGAUCUCUGCCCCGGGUGCGUCGCAGCCCCGGACCAAGGCGCCCGCCGGAGGACCAACCAAAACUCUUAUUGUAUACCCCCUCGCGGGUUUUUUUAUAAUCUGAGCCUUCUCGGCGCCCCUCGUGGGCGUUUCGAAAAUGAAUCAAAACUUUCAACAACGGAUCUCUUGGUUCUGGCAUCGAUGAAGAACGCAGCGAAAUGCGAUAAGUAAUGUGAAUUGCAGAAUUCAGUGAAUCAUCGAAUCUUUGAACGCACAUUGCGCCCGCCAGUAUUCUGGCGGGCAUGCCUGUCCGAGCGUCAUUUCAACCCUCGAACCCCUCCGGGGGGUCGGCGUUGGGGAUCGGCCCUCCCUCUGCGGGGGCCGUCUCCGAAAUCCAGUGGCGGUCUCGCCGCAGCCUCUCCUGCGCAGUAGUUUGCACACUCGCACCGGGAGCGCGGCGCGUCCACAGCCGUUAAACACCCAACUUUCUGAAAUGUUGACCUCGGAUCAGGUAGGAAUACCCGCUGAACUUAAGCAUAUCAAUAAGCGGA
This 560-nucleotide ribosomal RNA is filed under the name Trichoderma sp. MKZ-2007b. RNAcentral describes it as "eukaryotic LSU rRNA". The stretch from base 176 to 329 matches the Rfam family "5.8S ribosomal RNA". Lineage: Eukaryota; Fungi; Ascomycota; Sordariomycetes; Hypocreales; Hypocreaceae. The record is from RNAcentral.